AUACCUUUCUCGGCCUUUUGGCUAAGAUCAAGUGUAGUAUCUAUUCUUAUCAGUUUAAUGUCUGAUAUGUGGACCAUUGGUCCACACGAUAUUAGAUUUAUUUUUUGAGGGGGAAGAUCCAUCUAAGUAGCUUGCUACUUGGGUCUUCAUGCGUCGUCUUUGCAUUGCACUGGCCAGGCUCACCCCAGCAAUU
This is a small nuclear RNA of Salvia hispanica, 193 nucleotides long. RefSeq annotates it as U2 spliceosomal RNA. Lineage: Eukaryota; Viridiplantae; Streptophyta; Magnoliopsida; Lamiales; Lamiaceae. The record is from RefSeq and is a predicted model, not a curated record.